Molecule: ribosomal RNA, 418 nt
Filed under: uncultured bacterium
Lineage: Bacteria
Description: bacterial SSU rRNA
Rfam family: Bacterial small subunit ribosomal RNA
Source: RNAcentral
GACGAACGCUGGCGGCGUGCUUAACACAUGCAAGUCGAACGAAGAGCGAUGGAAGCUUGCUUCUAUCAAUCUUAGUGGCGAACGGGUGAGUAACGCGUAAUCAACCUGCCCUUCAGAGGGGGACAACAGUUGGAAACGACUGCUAAUACCGCAUACGAUCUAAUCUCGGCAUCGAGGAUAGAUGAAAGGUGGCCUCUACAUGUAAGCUAUCACUGAAGGAGGGGAUUGCGUCUGAUUAGCUAGUUGGAGGGGUAACGGCCCACCAAGGCGAUGAUCAGUAGCCGGUCUGAGAGGAUGAACGGCCACAUUGGGACUGAGACACGGCCCAGACUCCUACGGGAGGCAGCAGUGGGGAAUCUUCCGCAAUGGACGAAAGUCUGACGGAGCAACGCCGCGUGAGUGAUGACGGCCUUCGGGU